CCUAUCCUUGAUUGCUUGUUUC
RNAcentral lists this microRNA (22 nucleotides) under Monodelphis domestica (gray short-tailed opossum). RNAcentral describes it as "mdo-miR-26-1-3p". Its record names the gene mdo-miR-26-1-3p. Lineage: Eukaryota; Metazoa; Chordata; Mammalia; Didelphimorphia; Didelphidae. The record is from miRBase by way of RNAcentral.